CAGGCCUAACACAUGCAAGUCGAGCGGAUGACGGGAGCUUGCUCCUUGAUUCAGCGGCGGACGGGUGAGUAAUGCCUAGGAAUCUGCCUGGUAGUGGGGGACAACGUUUCGAAAGGAACGCUAAUACCGCAUACGUCCUACGGGAGAAAGCAGGGGACCUUCGGGCCUUGCGCUAUUAGAUGAGCCUAGGUCGGAUUAGCUAGUUGGUGGGGUAAUGGCUCACCAAGGCGACGAUCCGUAACUGGUCUGAGAGGAUGAUCAGUCACACUGGAACUGAGACACGGUCCAGACUCCUACGGAAGGCAGCAGUGGGGAAUAUUGGACAAUGGGCGAAAGCCUGAUCCAGCCAUGCCGCGUGUGUGAAGAAGGUCUUCGGAUUGUAAAGCACUUUAAGUUGGGAGGAAGGGCAGUAAGCUAAUACCUUGCUGUUUUGACGUUACCGACAGAAUAAGCACCGGCUAACUCUGUGCCAGCAGCCGCGGUAAU
Molecule: ribosomal RNA, 486 nt
Filed under: uncultured bacterium
Lineage: Bacteria
Description: bacterial SSU rRNA
Rfam family: Bacterial small subunit ribosomal RNA
Source: RNAcentral